This 497-nucleotide ribosomal RNA is filed under the name uncultured bacterium. RNAcentral describes it as "partial 16S ribosomal RNA". It matches the Rfam family "Bacterial small subunit ribosomal RNA", at positions 28 to 506 of the family's 1533-position model. The record is from RNAcentral.
GAUGAACGCUGGCGGCGUGCCUAAUACAUGCAAGUCGAGCGAACAGACGAGGAGCUUGCUCCUCUGACGUUAGCGGCGGACGGGUGAGUAACACGUGGAUAACCUACCUAUAAGACUGGGAUAACUUCGGGAAACCGGAGCUAAUACCGGAUAAUAUAUUGAACCGCAUGGUUCAAUAGUGAAAGACGGUUUUGCUGUCACUUAUAGAUGGAUCCGCGCCGCAUUAGCUAGUUGGUAAGGUAACGGCUUACCAAGGCAACGAUGCGUAGCCGACCUGAGAGGGGUGUACGGCCACACGGAAACUGGGAACGGGUCCAAACCCCUACGGAGGGCAGCAUUGGGAAAUUUUCCGAAAGGGGGAAAAGCCUAACGGGCCGCCGCCGGGGGGGUAAUGAAGUGCUUCGGUUCGAAAAACCCUUUUUUGGGGAAAAAAAAAAUGGGAAAAAAACUAAGCCCGUCCGGAGGGUACCAAAUCAGAAAGCCACGGCUAACUACGU